RNAcentral lists this ribosomal RNA (453 nucleotides) under Veillonella parvula. Its description in RNAcentral is "bacterial SSU rRNA". It matches the Rfam family "Bacterial small subunit ribosomal RNA", at positions 28 to 457 of the family's 1533-position model. The record is from RNAcentral. Lineage: Bacteria; Bacillati; Bacillota; Negativicutes; Veillonellales; Veillonellaceae.
GACGAACGCUGGCGGCGUGCUUAACACAUGCAAGUCGAACGAAGAGCGAUGGAAGCUUGCUUCUAUCAAUCUUAGUGGCGAACGGGUGAGUAACGCGUAAUCAACCUGCCCUUCAGAGGGGGACAACAGUUGGAAACGACUGCUAAUACCGCAUACGAUCUAAUCUCGGCAUCGAGGAUAGAUGAAAGGUGGCCUCUACAUGUAAGCUAUCACUGAAGGAGGGGAUUGCGUCUGAUUAGCUAGUUGGAGGGGUAACGGCCCACCAAGGCGAUGAUCAGUAGCCGGUCUGAGAGGAUGAACGGCCACAUUGGGACUGAGACACGGCCCAGACUCCUACGGGAGGCAGCAGUGGGGAAUCUUCCGCAAUGGACGAAAGUCUGACGGAGCAACGCCGCGUGAGUGAUGACGGCCUUCGGGUUGUAAAGCUUCUGUUAAUCGGGACGAAAGGCCUUC